GACGAACGCUGGCGGCGUGCUUAACACAUGCAAGUCGAGCGGUAAGGCCCUUUCGGGUACACGAGCGGCGAACGGGUGAGUAACACGUGGGUGACCUGCCCUCAGCUCUGGGAUAAGCCUGGGAAACUGGGUCUAAUACUGGAUAUGACUCCACGGUGCAUGUCGUGGGGUGGAAAGCCUUGUGCGGCUGAGGAUGGGCCCGCGGCCUAUCAGCUUGUUGGUGGGGUGANGGCCUACCAAGGCGACGACGGGUAGCCGGCCUGAGAGGGCGACCGGCCACACUGGGACUGAGACACGGCCCAGACUCCUACGGGAGGCAGCAGUGGGGAAUCUUGCGCAAUGGGCGAAGGCCUGACGCAGCGACGCCGCGUGAGGGAUGACGGCCU
Molecule: ribosomal RNA, 386 nt
Filed under: uncultured bacterium
Lineage: Bacteria
Description: bacterial SSU rRNA
Rfam family: Bacterial small subunit ribosomal RNA
Source: RNAcentral